Molecule: ribosomal RNA, 1322 nt
Filed under: Propionibacteriaceae bacterium WN041
Lineage: Bacteria; Bacillati; Actinomycetota; Actinomycetes; Propionibacteriales; Propionibacteriaceae
Description: partial 16S rRNA
Rfam family: Bacterial small subunit ribosomal RNA
Source: RNAcentral
AUANNNNCUGGNNAAGCCCUUCGAGUUACAGGNGCCCCGCCCGGGUGACUUACACGUGAGUANCCUGCCCUUGACUCUGGGACCCCCGUUNNNCNNUGCUAAUACCGGAUAUGAACCCUUUUCGCAUGAUUUGGGUUGGAAAGCUCCGGCGGUCAGGGAUGGACUCGCGGCCUAUCAGACUUGUUGGUGAGGUAGUGGCUCACCAAGGCUUCGACGGGUAGCCGGCCUGAGAGGGCGACCGGCCACAUUGGGACUGAGAUACGGCCCAAACUCCUACGGGAGGCAGCAGUGGGGAAUAUUGCACAAUGGGCGAAACCUGAUGCAGCAACGCCGCGUGCGGGAUGACGGCCUUCGGGUUGUAAACCGCUUUCAGCGCAGACGAAGCUAACGUGACGGUAUGCGCAGAAGAAGCACCGGCCAACUACGUGCCAGCAGCCGCGGUGAUACGUAGGUGCGACCGUUUGUCCGGGAAAUAUUGGGCGUAAAGAGCUUGUAGGCGGUUUGUUGCGUCAAAGUAAAACUCAGGCUUAACCCUGAGCUGCUUCUGAUACGGCAGACUAGAGCAUUAGGGAGACGGAAUCUGGUUGGACGUUGAUGCGCAGUAUCAGAGACACGUGCAAGCGUUCUCUGGUCCUGAGCUGAGAACGAAACGUGGGGACAAACAGCUUAAAACCCUGUAGUCCCACGCGUAACGGUGUACUAGUGUGGUCACCAUUCCACGUGAAUCCGUUGCCGCCACUAACGCAUUAAGUAACCCCGCCUGGGGGAGUACGGCGCAAGGCUAAAACUCAAAGGAAUUUGACGGGGCCCCGCACAAGCGGCGGAGCAUGCGGAUUAAUUUCGAUGCAACGCGAAGAACCUUACCUGGGUUUGACAUAUACCGGAAACGCCAAGAGAUUGGUGCCCCUUUUUGGUCGGUAUACAGGUGGUGCAUGGCUGUCGUCAGCUCGUGUCGUGAGAUGUUGGGUUAAGUCCCGCAACGAGCGCAACCCUCGUCCAAUGUUGCCAGCACGUUAUGGUGGGGACUCAUUGGAGACCGCCGGGGUCAACUCGGAGGAAGGUGGGGAUGACGUCAAGUCAUCAUGCCCCUUAUGUCCAGGGCUUCACGCAUGCUACAAUGGCCGGUACAAAGGGCUGCGAACCUGUAAGGGUGAGCGAAUCCCAAAAAGCCGGUCUCAGUUCGGAUUGGGGUCUGCAACUCGACCCCANGAAGGUCGGAGUCCGCUAGUAAUCGCAGAUCACAACGCUCGCCGUGAAUANGNUCCCGGGCUCGUACACACCGCCCGACAAGUCAUGAAAGGUCGNNNNCAACGAGCACUGCG